UUGUUUUUGUUACAAUGAUUUACAUUCAUUACACUAAUGUUUUUGGUGUUUGCGCCCGGGGCCCGAGAGCCCCAAGAUGUACAGUUCACGGUGUGUGUGGAAUAGACACGGCCAGAGGCCAAUCUCUAAUGAUCCUUCCGCAGGUUCACCUACGGAAA
This 158-nucleotide unclassified non-coding RNA is filed under the name uncultured fungus. RNAcentral describes it as "sequence contains ITS1". Lineage: Eukaryota; Fungi. The record is from RNAcentral.